Long non-coding RNA from Pogoniulus pusillus (Red-fronted tinkerbird), 1764 nucleotides. RefSeq lists it as uncharacterized. Lineage: Eukaryota; Metazoa; Chordata; Aves; Piciformes; Lybiidae. The record is from RefSeq and is a predicted model, not a curated record. The transcript has 6 exons.
GUAGCGGCUCCCCAGGGGAACAGUAUGUAAGGAGCUCGUGGCACGCUGGAGCCAGCAGUUUGCCUGUGAUCAUCCUUGCAAGCAUCAGUGCACUGGCCAUACGUACAGAAAUGCAUCUGCCACCUGCACCCCAGGUGGAGAAAGGAUGACAGCAGCGGUCAGUGGUGAUGUGACAUGGGGCAUGAAGGGAUCCAGACAGCCUGAAGAUCUUUGACUCAGAUUUUCUUGUUUUCCAGGUCUGAAUCUGUCUGAAUUCCUAACUGCUCUGUGUGAAGCCUCUCAAGCUGUGUAAACAGUAAUGCAAUAAUGGCAGAUCACAAUGCGCGCGUGCCAGACCGUGAAGAAUAGUUUAGGAGCCAAGCAAUAUGCUCUCUCUAAGUGACAAAAUGCUCCUUGCAGACGGGAAUAUUAAUCAACCCAGGAACUGACAGGAUCUGAUGGAAGAGACUGUUAUUAACAUUAUCUCCCUUGGAAGCAUUUGCAAUGGAUAUUUUCCCAUAGAGGCACAAAGACAGCACUACUCUGCUUGAUGAAAGAAUGAAGAGACAAGGUGAUUUGGGCUGGUAGUGUGCUGGAGGAAUUACAGCAACUUGAGUCAGGUUUGCACUUUGCUUUCCACUCCACUGGCCAAGCCAGCCAGAUGUGCAGCAGCAGCAGGAUGGGCACGAGGGCCCCAGCUGCUGCGGUGAAUCCGUCAGCACGGACGCUGGUGCCGCUGCAGCCUGGCCCUGCAGCCUGGCAGGGUGAUCUCCUUUGGCUCAGCUCCUGUGGGCUCCAGAGCUCUUCUCCCUGGGUGCUCUUUCUGCUGCAGAACAAAGAAGGAGCCACACCAAGUAGCAGAAUGUGCCACACGUGCCCUUCCUUUCUCCUCAAGGAGUUACUUGAAAGAGGCCAGCGCCAGCCUUGCUCCAACCUGCUUUCAUCUGGCUGUGGAGCUGCUGCUGAAUGAAUGUCUCCUUACUCAUGAUUCUUUCACAGGCUCUGACCCUCUUCUAGUGUUUGUUAUUGUGGAGUUGCUUCUUUGCAUUGUCUUUUUUUAGGCAGGACACAGACACUGCCCUGGUAAGAGGGGGAAAGGAAGGAAAGAGAAGGGAAAUGGAAAGGAAAUGGGAAGUGAAGAAAAGAGAAGGGAAAGGGAAUGGAUGGGAAAAGGAAAAGGAAAGAGCAAGCUGGAGGGCAGGAAGGCUGUGCAAAGGAAAUCUGGACAGGCUGCAUGGAUGGACCAAGAGUUCUCUUCAUUGCCUUGUGGCAGCACAAACCAAUCAGGGCUGGAGAAAGGGAACACUUAGCUCUGAGCAUGAAACUUUGGUGUCUGACUUCUUUCAAAGGGUGAGCAGAAGGAGGCAGAAGAGAAACUGGAAAGCGGGAGGAGUGCCUGCCAGCCCCUCAGGCAGUGCUGCCAUUCAGGCAGGCCUGGCCAGGGUGGAGAGUUGGGUGGGGAGAAAUGGAAUAAAAUGCGAGGAGGACAGCUGUAGAGUCUUGCAGCUGGGAAAGAAGCAGCCCAGGGAGCAGGAUAGGCUGGGGGCUGGGGGCCCUGGUGAACAGAAGGAUGCCCAUGAGCCAACAAUGUGCCCUUUGUGGCCAAGAAGGCCAGUGCCAUCCUGGAAUGGAUUAGAAGGGCUCCCAGGAACUGCAGAAUCUCAUCCAAGUGCUCCCACUAACACUGUGCACUGCCAGCCCCUCCUCGUGCUCCCAGCGUGGCUCCAGUGUCCACUCAGUGCCCCAAGCGACCCCCAACUUCCCAAGCCUCUUAGUUAUCCCUGU